GUAGGGACCAAGCGUUAUCCGGAAUUAUUGGGCGUAAAGGGUGCGUAGGCGGCCAUGUAAGUCUAAGUUAAAAGCCCACAGCUUAACUGUGGAAGGUGCUCAGAAACUGUAUGGCUUGAAUUCAGAAGAGGCAAGUGGAAUUCUAUGUGGAGCGGUGGAAUGCGUAGAUAUAUGGAGGAACACCAGUGGCGAAGGCGGCUUGCUGGGCUGAUAUUGACGCUGAUGCACGAAAGCGUGGGGGGAGCAAACAGGAUUAGAUACCCUGGUAGUCCACGCCCGUAAACGAUGAGUACUAAGUGUUGGAGAAAUUCAGUGCUGAACUUAACAGAUUAAGUACUCCGCCUGGGAUUACGACCGCAAGGUUG
Molecule: ribosomal RNA, 365 nt
Filed under: uncultured organism
Description: partial 16S ribosomal RNA
Rfam family: Bacterial small subunit ribosomal RNA
Source: RNAcentral